This is a long non-coding RNA of Solanum dulcamara, 467 nucleotides long. RefSeq lists it as uncharacterized. The record is from RefSeq and is a predicted model, not a curated record. The transcript has 2 exons. NCBI's taxonomy places the organism in Eukaryota, Viridiplantae, Streptophyta, Magnoliopsida, Solanales, Solanaceae.
GGCUCCAACGGUAAAAAAACAUUAAAAUCUCCAUUUUUCUUUGUUUUUUUCUCCAUUUUCAGAACACUCUCUCUUCUCCACCAUUUCUAUUUAUUCACCCAUUUUUCUUUGCUUCUUGUUUGCUUUUCUCUCCCUUUUCAAAUUUCUUAGAACCCACUUUCUUUCUUUUGCAAUUGGUAAAUUCAUGAAUUAUAAUAGGAGACUUGUUUGUUCAUGUGGAAGUUCUCCAAUUGUGAGAAUUUCAUGGACAAAUGACAAUUCCGGACAUAGAUUCCUCGGUGUAGGCACUAUGGGAAUUUUCCAACCAGGCGAAUGUUGUGAUUUUGGGUCUGUUGAAGAAGACCAACAAACAACAAAAAUAAUUGCAAUUGAAGUGUAGAAGGAUGUUAAAACUGAUUUUGUGUAUUAUUUGAUAUGUAAUGUGAUAGUGUUCUUUCAUAUAGUGUGUAGUUGAUUAGUGAAAAUGU